Molecule: non-coding RNA, 92 nt
Filed under: bovine gut metagenome
Also listed under: 1 other name
Description: S10-Clostridia ribosomal protein leader
Rfam family: S10-Clostridia ribosomal protein leader
Source: RNAcentral
UGAUAGCUGUGAACCCGAAGUUACUAAAGGCUCAUAUAUAGGGGCACAGAUAAUUCGGCGGAGCGAAUGUCAAGUUAGGAAACUGGCGACAA